Maylandia zebra (zebra mbuna) is the source of this 379-nucleotide non-coding RNA. NCBI's taxonomy places the organism in Eukaryota, Metazoa, Chordata, Actinopteri, Cichliformes, Cichlidae. The record is from RefSeq and is a predicted model, not a curated record.
UUGAAGAGAUUGCCGCGGAAGAGCCUGUUGUCGAUGGAGGAUCACUAACAGGAGCGUGGAAGACUCCAGAAUCCACUCUGGCUACUAUCCGGUGGAUAUGCAGUGUUUACAGAACAGUUCUCCACAGUCGCUGUCCACAUGGGUCAGUGGGACCAAGAAGCACUCUGCUAAUGUGGGACUCUGACCAGCAACAUCCAGCAGGACCCAGACAGCGUUUUCUAUCUCCCAGCUGGAGUUUUUGUUUGUCUGUGACUAGAGAGUCAGAUUUUUGUUGAGCUUCACACUUGCAGAGUUAAGUCAGUUUGCAGAGAUCCCUCCCACCCUGGCUUUUAUGUGCUAGAUUUCUUAUCUGAAACCACCACAGGUUAACACAGGCUAC